GUGGGGAAUAUUGGACAAUGGGCGAAAGCCUGAUCCAGCCAUGCCGCGUGUGUGAAGAAGGUCUUCGGAUUGUAAAGCACUUUAAGUUGGGAGGAAGGGCAGUAAGUUAAUACCUUGCUGUUUUGACGUUACCGACAGAAUAAGCACCGGCUAACUUCGUGCCAGCAGCCGCGGUAAUACGAAGGGUGCAAGCGUUAAUCGGAAUUACUGGGCGUAAAGCGCGCGUAGGUGGUUUUGUAAGUUGGAGGUGAAAUCCCCGGGCUCAACCUGGGAACUGCCUCCAAAACUGGAUGACUAGAGUACGGUAGAGGGUAGUGGAAUUUCCUGUGUAGCGGUGAAUUGCGUAGAUAUAGGAAGGAACACCAGUGGCGAAGGCGACUACCUGGACUGAUACUGACACUGAGGUGCGAAAGCGUGGGGAGCAAACAGGAUUAGAAACCCGGGUAGUCC
Molecule: ribosomal RNA, 450 nt
Filed under: uncultured bacterium
Lineage: Bacteria
Description: bacterial SSU rRNA
Rfam family: Bacterial small subunit ribosomal RNA
Source: RNAcentral